This is a non-coding RNA of Pelobates cultripes (western spadefoot toad), 402 nucleotides long. NCBI's taxonomy places the organism in Eukaryota, Metazoa, Chordata, Amphibia, Anura, Pelobatidae. The record is from the annotation of a GenBank genome assembly.
AUAAUGAAGAAAUUAGCUUGUUAACCCUUGCAGGGUCUUAUUGGAAUAAGUAAAUAACUAGACCCCACAGUCUUAUAAUGCAAGGUGUUAAAUCUACUACAAAGAUAACACUGGGAGUGACUUUCAGACUGCUAUUUACAGAAGUUUAUAAGAUGCUGGAUAGAUGUUAAUUUAAUGGGAUUUGUAUGAGAGCAGCUCAGGGUAUAAAUAUGACUUCAGGAAAUAGAGAUUCGGACUCAAACAUGGAUAAAAUAAGCAUGACAGGAGACUUAGCGAGGGUGCAGAGAGAGCUCUCAGGAGUUUUAUUAGAAGAGACAGGAGGACUGGAAAUCAAUCGGGCAGGGUAACAUAAUGUCAUUGGUUGCUCAGUGGUUUAAACUUCCAGAAAUAUUGUACUAAUAA